RNAcentral lists this ribosomal RNA (501 nucleotides) under uncultured bacterium. RNAcentral's name for it is "bacterial SSU rRNA". It matches the Rfam family "Bacterial small subunit ribosomal RNA", at positions 28 to 507 of the family's 1533-position model. The record is from RNAcentral.
GACGAACGCUGGCGGCGUGCCUAAUACAUGCAAGUCGAGCGGAAUGAUGAAGAAGCUUGCUUCUUCUGAUUUUAGCGGCGGACGGGUGAGUAACACGUGGGCAACCUACCUUGUAGAUUGGGAUAACUCCGGGAAACCGGGGCUAAUACCGAAUAAUCCAUUUUGCUUCAUGGCGAGAUGUUGAAAGACGGUUUCGGCUGUCACUAUAAGAUGGGCCCGCGGCGCAUUAGCUAGUUGGUAGGGGUAAUGGCCUACCAAGGCGACGAUGCGUAGCCGACCUGAGAGGGUGAUCGGCCACACUGGGACUGAGACACGGCCCAGACUCCUACGGGAGGCAGCAGUAGGGAAUCUUCCACAAUGGACGAAAGUCUGAUGGAGCAACGCCGCGUAAGUGAAGAAGGUUUUCGGAUCGUAAAACUCUGUUGUAAGGGAAGAACACGUACGAGAGUAACUGCUCGUACCUUGACGGUACCUUAUUAGAAAGCCACGGCUAACUACGUG